Molecule: ribosomal RNA, 397 nt
Filed under: uncultured bacterium
Lineage: Bacteria
Description: partial 16S ribosomal RNA
Rfam family: Bacterial small subunit ribosomal RNA
Source: RNAcentral
AUACGUAGGGUGCGAGCGUUGUCCGGAAUUACUGGGCGUAAGGAGCUCGUAGGUGGUUUGUCGCGUCGUCUGUGAAAUUCCGGGGCUUAACUCCGGGCGUGCAGGCGAUACGGGCAUAACUUGAGUACUGUAGGGGAGACUGGAAUUCCUGGUGUAGCGGUGAAAUGCGCAGAUAUCAGGAGGAACACCGGUGGCGAAGGCGGGUCUCUGGGCAGUAACUGACGCUGAGGAGCGAAAGCAUGGGUAGCGAACAGGAUUAGAUACCCUGGUAGGCCAUGUCGUAAACGGUGGGCGCUAGGUGUAGGGGUCUUCCACGACUUCUGUGCCGUAGCUAACGCAUUAAGCGCCCCGCCUGGGGAGUACGGCCGCAAGGCUAAAACUCAAAGGAAUUGACGGG